UUAUGGCAACGAUGCGCUACGCCCCGCAA
This 29-nucleotide small RNA is filed under the name Bombyx mori (domestic silkworm). RNAcentral describes it as "ovarian small RNA-9462". Lineage: Eukaryota; Metazoa; Arthropoda; Insecta; Lepidoptera; Bombycidae. The record is from RNAcentral.